This 736-nucleotide ribosomal RNA is filed under the name Acinetobacter seifertii. RNAcentral's name for it is "bacterial SSU rRNA". It matches the Rfam family "Bacterial small subunit ribosomal RNA", at positions 134 to 863 of the family's 1533-position model. Lineage: Bacteria; Pseudomonadati; Pseudomonadota; Gammaproteobacteria; Moraxellales; Moraxellaceae. The record is from RNAcentral.
UAGUAGGGGGACAACAUCUCGAAAGGGAUGCUAAUACCGCAUACGUCCUACGGGAGAAAGCAGGGGAUCUUCGGACCUUGCGCUAAUAGAUGAGCCUCAGUCGGAUUAGCUAGUUGGUGGGGUAAAGGCCUACCAAGGCGACGAUCUGUAGCGGGUCUGAGAGGAUGAUCCGCCACACUGGGACUGAGACACGGCCCAGACUCCUACGGGAGGCAGCAGUGGGGAAUAUUGGACAAUGGGGGGAACCCUGAUCCAGCCAUGCCGCGUGUGUGAAGAAGGCCUUAUGGUUGUAAAGCACUUUAAGCGAGGAGGAGGCUACUUUAGUUAAUACCUAGAGAUAGUGGACGUUACUCGCAGAAUAAGCACCGGCUAACUCUGUGCCAGCAGCCGCGGUAAUACAGAGGGUGCAAGCGUUAAUCGGAUUUACUGGGCGUAAAGCGCGCGUAGGCGGCUAAUUAAGUCAAAUGUGAAAUCCCCGAGCUUAACUUGGGAAUUGCAUUCGAUACUGGUUAGCUAGAGUGUGGGAGAGGAUGGUAGAAUUCCAGGUGUAGCGGUGAAAUGCGUAGAGAUCUGGAGGAAUACCGAUGGCGAAGGCAGCCAUCUGGCCUAACACUGACGCUGAGGUGCGAAAGCAUGGGGAGCAAACAGGAUUAGAUACCCUGGUAGUCCAUGCCGUAAACGAUGUCUACUAGCCGUUGGGGCCUUUGAGGCUUUAGUGGCGCAGCUAACGCGAUAA